This is a long non-coding RNA of Trifolium pratense (red clover), 395 nucleotides long. RefSeq lists it as uncharacterized. NCBI's taxonomy places the organism in Eukaryota, Viridiplantae, Streptophyta, Magnoliopsida, Fabales, Fabaceae. The transcript has 2 exons. The record is from RefSeq and is a predicted model, not a curated record.
UAUUGGUAAAUUUUUUAUGUGACCUCUUUAUUAAGUGUGCUAAAGGAACAAACACAACAUAUUUAGUAAUAAUUUUUUAUAACUUCAUAAGUUCUAAAAACUAUUUAAUUGAUGUAAGGAGAUGACAAACUUUAUAAAUUAUAAAGUGAUAAAACCAUUUGUGAGUUGUAAACAGGGAAAAUAUGGUUAAAAUUUUCAAGUUUAUUUAUUUUAUGAUUAUCUUUCAUUUUCUAUUUUUUGUUGCAACGAACGGUGUGGGUUAUAAAUGUAAAAUAAAUGAUGAUUGUCCAACAAAUAUAUGUUUGCUUGGCAGUAAGCCGUUUUGUAAGUACCGUCGUUGUAAAUGUUUAACAGUGUGGAGCCAGUAAGAUUUUAAGCCUAUGUGAUUAUGUAGA